Molecule: ribosomal RNA, 248 nt
Filed under: uncultured bacterium
Lineage: Bacteria
Description: partial 16S ribosomal RNA
Rfam family: Bacterial small subunit ribosomal RNA
Source: RNAcentral
CAGCCUACGGGACGCAGCAGUGGGGAAUAUUGGACAAUGGGGGAAACCCUGAUCCAGCGACGCCGCGUGAGUGAAGAAGUAUUUCGGUAUGUACAGCUCUAUCAGCAGGGAAGAAAAUGACGGUACCUGACUAAGAAGCCCCGGCUAACUACGUGCCAGCAGCCGCGGUAAUACGUAGGUGGCGAGCGUUGUCCGGAAUUACUGGGUGUAAAGGGAGUGUAGGCGGGGAAGCAAGUCAGAAGUGAAAA